RNAcentral lists this ribosomal RNA (109 nucleotides) under Salmonella enterica subsp. enterica serovar Weltevreden. RNAcentral's name for it is "partial 16S ribosomal RNA". It matches the Rfam family "Bacterial small subunit ribosomal RNA", at positions 1 to 100 of the family's 1533-position model. Lineage: Bacteria; Pseudomonadati; Pseudomonadota; Gammaproteobacteria; Enterobacterales; Enterobacteriaceae. The record is from RNAcentral.
UUAAAUUGAAGAGUUUGAUCAUGGCUCAGAUUGAACGCUGGCGGCAGGCCUAACACAUGCAAGUCGAACGGUAACAGGAAGCAGCUUGCUGUUUUGCUGACGAGUGGCG